This 497-nucleotide ribosomal RNA is filed under the name uncultured bacterium. Its description in RNAcentral is "partial 16S ribosomal RNA". It matches the Rfam family "Bacterial small subunit ribosomal RNA", at positions 28 to 507 of the family's 1533-position model. The record is from RNAcentral.
GAUGAACGCUGGCGGCGUGCCUAAUACAUGCAAGUCGAGCGAACGGACGAGAAGCUUGCUUCUCUGAUGUUAGCGGCGGACGGGUGAGUAACACGUGGAUAACCUACCUAUAAGACUGGGAUAACUUCGGGAAACCGGAGCUAAUACCGGAUAAUAUUUUGAACCGCAUGGUUCAAAAGUGAAAGACGGUCUUGCUGUCACUUAUAGAUGGAUCCGCGCUGCAUUAGCUAGUUGGUAAGGUAACGGCUUACCAAGGCAACGAUGCAUAGCCGACCUGAGAGGGUGAUCUGCCACACUGGAACUGAGACACGGUCCAGACUCCUACGGGAGGCAGCAGUAGGGAAUCUUCCGCAAGGGGCGAAAGCCUGACGGAGCAACGCCGCGUGAGUGAUGAAGGUCUUCGGAUCUUAAAACUCUGUUAUUAGGGAAGAACAUAUGUGUAAGUAACUGUGCACAUCUUGACGGUACCUAAUCAGAAAGCCACGGCUAACUACGUG